Molecule: ribosomal RNA, 340 nt
Filed under: uncultured Comamonadaceae bacterium
Lineage: Bacteria; Pseudomonadati; Pseudomonadota; Betaproteobacteria; Burkholderiales; Comamonadaceae
Description: bacterial SSU rRNA
Rfam family: Bacterial small subunit ribosomal RNA
Source: RNAcentral
GAUCGAGUUUGAUCCUGGCUCAGAUUGAACGCUGGCGGAAUGCUUUACACAUGCAAGUCGAACGGUAGAGGGGGCAACCCCUUGAGAGUGGCGAACGGGUGGAGUAAUAUAUCGGAACGUGCCCAGUCGUGGGGGAUAACGUAGCGAAAGUUACGCUAAUACCGCAUACGAUCUAAGGAUGAAAGCGGGGGAUCACAAGACCUCGCGCGAUUGGAGCGGCCGAUAUCAGAUUAGGUAGUUGGUGAGGUAAAGGCUCACCAAGCCGACGAUCUGUAGCUGGUCUGAGAGGACGACCAGCCACACUGGAACUGAGACACGGUCCAGACUCCGUACGGGAGGC